RNAcentral lists this ribosomal RNA (252 nucleotides) under uncultured bacterium. Its description in RNAcentral is "partial 16S ribosomal RNA". It matches the Rfam family "Bacterial small subunit ribosomal RNA", at positions 524 to 776 of the family's 1533-position model. The record is from RNAcentral.
UACGUAGGUCCCGAGCGUUGUCCGGAUUUAUUGGGCGUAAAGCGAGCGCAGGUGGUUUAUUAAGUCUGGUGUAAAAGGCAGUGGCUCAACCAUUGUAUGCAUUGGAAACUGGUAGACUUGAGUGCAGGAGAGGAGAGUGGAGUUCCAUGUGUAGCGGUGAAAUGCGUAGAUAUAUGGAGGAACACCGGUGGCGGAAGCGGCUCUCUGGCCUGUAACUGACACUGAGGCUCGAAAGCGUGGGGAGCAAACAGG